RNAcentral lists this ribosomal RNA (253 nucleotides) under uncultured bacterium. RNAcentral's name for it is "partial 16S ribosomal RNA". It matches the Rfam family "Bacterial small subunit ribosomal RNA", at positions 524 to 776 of the family's 1533-position model. The record is from RNAcentral.
UACGUAGGGUGCAAGCGUUAAUCGGAAUUACUGGGCGUAAAGCGUGCGCAGGCGGUUAUGUAAGACAGGUGUGAAAUCCCCGGGCUCAACCUGGGAACUGCAUCUGUGACUGCAUCGCUGGAGUGCGGCAGAGGGGGAUGGAAUUCCGCGUGUAGCAGUGAAAUGCGUAGAUAUGCGGAGGAACACCGAUGGCGAAGGCAAUCCCCUGGGCCUGCACUGACGCUCAUGCACGAAAGCGUGGGGAGCAAACAGG